UAAUACAGAGGUCUCAAGCGUUGUUCGGAUUCAUUGGGCGUAAAGGGUGCGUAGGCUGCGAGGUAAGUCUGGUGUGAAAUCCCGGGGCUCAACCCCGGAACUGCACUGGAUACUGCUUUGCUAGAGUACUGGAGAGGGAACUGGAAUUUACGGUGUAGCAGUGAAAUGCGUAGAUAUCGUAAGGAAGACCAGCGGCGAAGGCGAGUUCCUGGACAGUUACUGACGCUGAGGCACGAAGGCCAGGGGAGCAAACGGGAUUAGAUACCCCGGUAGUCCUGGCAGUAAACGGUGCGCGUUUGGUGUGGGAGGAUUCGACCCCUUCCGUGCCGGAGCUAACGCGUUAAACGCGCCGCCUGGGGAGUACGGUCGCAAGAUUA
This 377-nucleotide ribosomal RNA is filed under the name uncultured bacterium. RNAcentral's name for it is "bacterial SSU rRNA". It matches the Rfam family "Bacterial small subunit ribosomal RNA", at positions 521 to 896 of the family's 1533-position model. The record is from RNAcentral.